Numida meleagris (helmeted guineafowl) is the source of this 312-nucleotide long non-coding RNA. RefSeq lists it as uncharacterized. NCBI's taxonomy places the organism in Eukaryota, Metazoa, Chordata, Aves, Galliformes, Numididae. The transcript has 3 exons. The record is from RefSeq and is a predicted model, not a curated record.
AGCGCUUGGCUUGGGAGAGCGGAGAGAGCGCAGUCAGAGGCAGGCGUUCGUUCAUCGCGUCCUUACGGUGUCAAGCUCCUUGGGCCAGUUGGAUAUGAGAUGAACUUGAACAAAUUCCUAUAAGAUGUGGUGCAUCCUGGGAGAUUUACAUAGAUUGGAUAAGCUUCAGAACCAAGCAGUGUCAGCUGGUGAUAUUUAUGGUGCCCGGAGAAGAGUAGCAGGGAUACCAGUGUCCAGAGGAGCAUCCUCAAUGAAAUAGAGAGGAAGAUUUUCAUUUUCUUCACGAAAACCUUAAAAUGAUUAUUUUCCAUA